GUCAGGAUGGACAAGCGGUCUAAGGCGCUGCGUUAAGAUUGCAAUUUCCCCUGGAGGCGUGGGUUCAAAUGCCACUUCCGACA
Danio rerio (zebrafish) is the source of this 83-nucleotide non-coding RNA. Lineage: Eukaryota; Metazoa; Chordata; Actinopteri; Cypriniformes; Danionidae. The record is from Rfam.